AUCUGUUGGAGUUGUGGUUAGUGCGCUCGGCUAUAGAUCCGGGCGACGCGGGUUCGAUUCCCCCUGCCAGAUG
This 73-nucleotide transfer RNA is filed under the name Dallia pectoralis (Alaska blackfish). RNAcentral's name for it is "tRNA-OTHER". The record is from RNAcentral. Lineage: Eukaryota; Metazoa; Chordata; Actinopteri; Esociformes; Umbridae.